This is a small nuclear RNA of Dipodomys ordii (Ord's kangaroo rat), 210 nucleotides long. Its record names the gene U2. It matches the Rfam family "U2 spliceosomal RNA". From Rfam's summary of the family: U2 is a small nuclear RNA (snRNA) component of the spliceosome (involved in pre-mRNA splicing). Complementary binding between U2 snRNA (in an area lying towards the 5' end but 3' to hairpin I) and the branchpoint sequence (BPS) of the intron results the bulging out of an unpaired adenosine, on the BPS, which initiates a nucleophilic attack at the intronic 5' splice site, thus starting the first of two transesterification reactions that mediate splicing. Lineage: Eukaryota; Metazoa; Chordata; Mammalia; Rodentia; Heteromyidae. The record is from Ensembl.
AUCCCAGUAGUUGCAAAAAGAAGGGAAAAAAAAUCAAGUGUAGUCUCUGCUCUUACCAGCAUAACAUCUGGUAUGUCCUCUAUCUGAGGACAAUAUAAUUUAAUAAAUAAUUUUGGAGUAGGAAGAUCCAAUAGAAAAUUGCUUAGAUAGCUUCAUCUGUUCUACAAAAUAACCUGUUAUUGCAUUUCUUCCAGGAAUUGUGUACUCCAC